RNAcentral lists this ribosomal RNA (255 nucleotides) under uncultured bacterium. RNAcentral describes it as "partial 16S ribosomal RNA". It matches the Rfam family "Bacterial small subunit ribosomal RNA", at positions 99 to 354 of the family's 1533-position model. The record is from RNAcentral.
CGGACGGGUGAGUAACGCGUGGGUAACCUGCCCUGUACAGGGGGAUAACAGUUAGAAAUGACUGCUAACACCGCAUAAGCGCACGGUAAGGCAUCUUAGUGUGUGAAAAUAUUCAUAGGUACAGGAUGGGCCCGCGUCUGAUUAGCCAGUUGGCAGGGUAACGGCCUACCAAAGCGACGAUCAGUAGCCGGCUUGAGAGAGUGAACGGCCACAUUGGGACUGAGACACGGCCCAAACUCCUACGGGAGGCAGCAG